GAUGAAGAACGUAGCGAAAUGCGAUAAGUAAUGUGAAUUGCAGAAUUCAGUGAAUCAUCGAAUCUUUGAACGCAUCUUGCGCUCCUUGGUAUUCCUUGGAGCAUGCCUGUUUGAGUAUCAUGAGCAAAUCUCAAAGUCAAUUCCUUUUGUUAAUUCAAUUGGUUUUGCUUUGGACUUGGAGGUCUUGCAGAUUUUCACAGUCUGCUCCUCUUAAAUGCAUUAGCUGGAUCUCAGUAAUUAUGCUUGAUUCCACUCGGCGUGAUAAGUAUCACUCGCUGAGGACACUGUUAAAAAGGUGGCCAGGAAAAUACUGAUUGAACCGCUUCUAACGGUCUAUUAAGUUAGACAAUUACCCUUAAGUUUGAUCUCAAAUCAGGUAGGACUACCCGCUGAACUUAAGCAUAUCAAUAAGCGGAGGA
This 419-nucleotide unclassified non-coding RNA is filed under the name soil metagenome. RNAcentral's name for it is "partial contains 5.8S ribosomal RNA, internal transcribed spacer 2, and large subunit ribosomal RNA". The stretch from base 1 to 120 matches the Rfam family "5.8S ribosomal RNA", at positions 35 to 154 of the family's 154-position model. The record is from RNAcentral.